AUGACAUGGCUGGGUCCCGUGCCAAACUUUCUGAAGACUGCUAUCGUGAUCAAACUGAAGGAGAUCUUUGAAAGCUGCUCCGAGGUUGCUCUGAUCCUGGAGCUGGGGACGGGACAAGAGCUGUGUGACAGACGGGACGCUGCCCUUCUCGUCAGCAUCGUUGGCCUCAUCAGUAAAACCACAUGGCUUCAAAAGGCCCUUCAAAUCCAUCUGCCAGUGGCUUGUCCUCAACCCUGGUCCCCAGCUAAUGUGAAUCCCCCAGUUACCUCCUAAAUCCCUUCAUGGAGAAACCUGCAGGCAAGUGAGCAUCAUAGACGAAGUGAGAGACAUCAGGUUUAAAACUCUGGCCCUACCACUAAUUUGCUAUGUGAUCUUGGACAAUUUUCACCUUCUUGGACCUCAGUUUCAUCCUCUGUCAAAUGGGGAGAAUAAUCCUUGCAUAUGAGAAAGCACAGAACUUAGUCUAAGCGGAAUAAUGGAUAGACUGCUGGACAUUGGGUCUGGAAAAACUGAGUUCAAGUCCUGUCUGGUACUUUUAACCCUGGCAAGGCCAUACAUGGGUGUGACCCUCUCUGUCUCUCUGUGAUCUCCUCAGCUCCCAUCAGUUCCAUUAUCAUUUCUAAUCAGAUUACCCACAAAUCGACAAAGACCCUCCACUCACUCUUGUCCUUCCCUCCCAUAUCAUCCACCCUGCCUUAGGUCUCUACCUAGAGGUCCCCCAGGCCUCACACGCCCACCAGCUCCAAAACAGAACUCACCGCCUUCCUUAAACGCUCCUUAUAAAAGCCAACCAUGUCCUCCCAAACACCGUUUCUUUCUUCCCUAUGUCUGUGCCUUGUACAUAGUAGGCUCCUAAUAAAUGUUUGUUAUAUUGAAUCUUCA
RNAcentral lists this long non-coding RNA (882 nucleotides) under Phascolarctos cinereus (koala). Its description in RNAcentral is "lncRNA (ENSPCIG00000011173.2)". Lineage: Eukaryota; Metazoa; Chordata; Mammalia; Diprotodontia; Phascolarctidae. The record is from RNAcentral.